Molecule: ribosomal RNA, 172 nt
Filed under: uncultured bacterium
Lineage: Bacteria
Description: partial 16S ribosomal RNA
Rfam family: Bacterial small subunit ribosomal RNA
Source: RNAcentral
GCUAAUACCGCAUAAAAGUUGAAAACCAAAGUGGGGGACCUUUUAUAGGCCUCAUGCUUUGGAUGAACCCAGACGAGAUUAGCUUGUUGGUAAGGUAAAAGCUUACCAAGGCAACGAUCUCUAGCUGGUCUGAGAAGAUAACCAGCCACACUGGAACUGAGACACGGUCCAG